AUCUGAAUUGGGAAAUUCAAUAUUAUUUUAGUUGUCCAUUUAAUCAAUGGAUAAUCGAUGAUAUGCACUUUUCCCAUAGUAGGACAUUGCGAUCCAUUAGUAGUCUCUUUGAGACGGUUUAUCAAACGGCCCGUGUAGUCAGUUUAGCCUAUCUGCAAUAUUUACUAUUGUAUGGUUAAUGCUAUUGCGGUGACCUGGUAAACAGCUGAUGGAGCUUAUAAAAUCAUGCAACCAUGCAUAUGUAUCACGGUUUCGAUGUUGUAAAACAUUGGAAUGCAGUGAUCGCAUGUAUUUGAUUAGCAAUGCGAUAGAUUUGGGAUACCUUCGGGACCCGUCUUGAAACACGGACCAAGAAGUCUAACAUGUGUGCAAGUCAUUGGGUAUUUUUUGUGAAACCUAAAGGCGAAAUUAAAAUAACUAUUUUAUGGGAUUACAAGCGAUC
This 442-nucleotide ribosomal RNA is filed under the name Austrosynapha sp. JSGS1. RNAcentral's name for it is "eukaryotic LSU rRNA". It matches the Rfam family "Eukaryotic large subunit ribosomal RNA", at positions 429 to 754 of the family's 3401-position model. The record is from RNAcentral. Lineage: Eukaryota; Metazoa; Arthropoda; Insecta; Diptera; Mycetophilidae.